This 29-nucleotide non-coding RNA is filed under the name Mus musculus (house mouse). Lineage: Eukaryota; Metazoa; Chordata; Mammalia; Rodentia; Muridae. The record is from RNAcentral.
UGUCUCAGUGAUGUGCGUGUGUGUGCAGA